AUGGGAGUCAUCGCCGCCACCAUGACCCCUGUGGAGAGGAUGUGUACCCUCGUCCUGGACGAGAUGGCAAUCAAACACCAAUUUGAUUAUGAUCGCAGGAACGAUGCGAGAUACAACGAUGGUGUAUCUGCAUCUGGGGCUGCAGCAAAACAAGCGACGGUCGUCAUGGCUAGGGGCAUUAUGGGGAAAUGGAAGCAGACUGUUGGUUACUUCUUUUCCCCAUCUUCAAUGCCAGCAGAUGAUAUUGCUACCGUCAUUAAGGAUGCCAAUCGCCACCUACAUCAUAUAGGGCUGACAGUGCAGGCAGUAAUAUGUGACCAGGGAAGCCCUAAUGUGAAGGCUGUGCGAAACCUUGGGGCUAACCUGGACCCUCUGGGAGGUGAGGAGUCCCACUGUAUCCUGGUGGGGGUUCAGAGGUGA
This 420-nucleotide long non-coding RNA is filed under the name Gadus morhua (Atlantic cod). RNAcentral's name for it is "lncRNA (ENSGMOG00000023883.1)". Lineage: Eukaryota; Metazoa; Chordata; Actinopteri; Gadiformes; Gadidae. The record is from RNAcentral.